UCGGGAAUUUUGGGCAAUGGGCGAAAGCCUGACCCAGCAACGCCGCGUGAAGGAUGAAAUCCCUCGGGAUGUAAACUUCGCAAGAACGGGAAGAAUAAGUAGGGGACAAUACCCCCUAUGAUGACGGUACUGUUUGUAAGCUCCGGCUAACUCCGUGCCAGCAGCCGCGGUAAUACGGGGGGAGCAAGCGUUGUUCGGAUUUACUGGGCGUAAAGGGCGCGUAGGCGGCCACCGCAAGUCGACUGUGAAAUCUCCGGGCUUAACUCGGAAAGGUCAGCCGAUACUGCGGGGCUAGAGUGCAGAAGGGGCAACUGGAAUUCUCGGUGUAGCGGUGAAAUGCGUAGAUAUCGAGAGGAACACCUGCGGCGAAGGCGGGUUGCUGGGCUGACACUGACGCUGAAGUGCGAAAGCUAGGGGAGCGAACGGGAUUAGAUACCCCGGUAGUCCUGGCCUUAAACGAUGAAUGCUUGGUGUCUGGGGUUUUAUAGUCCCCGGGUGCCGUCGCUAACGCUUUAAGCAUUCCGCCUGGGGAGUACGGUCGCAAGACUGA
RNAcentral lists this ribosomal RNA (550 nucleotides) under uncultured Acidobacteriota bacterium. RNAcentral describes it as "bacterial SSU rRNA". It matches the Rfam family "Bacterial small subunit ribosomal RNA", at positions 355 to 897 of the family's 1533-position model. The record is from RNAcentral. Lineage: Bacteria; Pseudomonadati; Acidobacteriota.